UGCCGCAGCCUUCCCCGCCCGCCGUAGCCACCUCCGUCGCAGGGAUGCAGACCAACGUCAUCUCUCCCCAACCUCGCCCCUCCCAACGUCAUCGAGCUCCCCACACAUCUCGAACUCAGACUCGGAGAAGAGUCCAUGUUGCGUGCGUCUUGGAGUUGUGUCCGAGGAGGAGAUGUUCAGGAGCACGGAGCCGUCCGAUACACCGAAAUUGAUGAUAUAAGAAGGAACCCCUCGACCAGGAUUAGAUUGCAUCGAAAGUUUCUUGCCCGACAUCGCCGCGUUACAAGUUUCCGACAUCGCCGUUCAUGUACGCCGUCGAUUUCGCCGAAGAUCCGUCUGCACGUGCUCCACCGCCCGCCGGAAUUUCUCCCGGUCUGAGGGUAGCCUGUAGUUCCUGCCGAGUCACAGAGUAACAUUGAGGUGAGGAGGCGGCGGCCAGCACAAGCCCCAGGAGCUGCAGUGGGGCUACGAGAACGGCGACAACAAUGACUAGCGGCGGCCAGGUCUUGGUGGCAUGACAUCCUCCUUGCCCAUCAUAAGGUACUUCUCCACCACCCAGUGUGGGUGACGACGCGGCAGCGGUCGGCCAGCACUCGUGGCGGCGCUUGCCCAUCUGACGUGAUGUCGGAUUGGCGGCUCGGGCACUCGGCACUCGGCAUAGCGACGUUUACGAUGUCUCUCUCUGGACAGGGUGGAACUCGUGCAUCCGGCGUGGCUGAUGCAUCUGUGCAGCACUACGGAUCGCUGUGGGCACGACGACCUGAUGGCGCGUGCGAUGCGACGGCGGCCAGCGGUGUGGCACUGUAGUUGUCUCUGGAAAGCUGACGUGCGAGACUUGGGAGGCGGUGGGCGAGACAUCCACCGGGGUUGACUGGAUGAUGAGGUGACUACUGGAUGACCAGGUGCUCAUGGAGGACUCGGUGAAUCAUGAAGCGGAUCGAGGAGUUCACUGACGCGCAUGUAUGACGGCUUUUCAAAUUUCAGAGGUACGACGCACGGGCUCCAAUGCUUUACUAAACUGAAUCUUCUAUGCUUCUAAAGUUUGCUUCUCUAGACUUUAUGGGGAAGGUGAAAUCGAUUAUUCUUGUACGACACUCAAAACAAAUUUUCUGAUCCUUUUGUCCGAUCAAUGUUAAGACCAGAUUAGUUCAUGUAACUUUCUCAUUCAGCCCUCACCAGUUUCAGAGGUUGCAGUACGAGCAUGCGGAAAGGAUGCACUCUAUGGUGUUCUUCCUGAUAGAUGUACUAAUGGACAUGAUUUGUCUCUAUCUAAAUACUAAGAUUGAGUUCACACGUGCAGGUGAUGCAAAGGCUAAUCUUCUUUCACAUGUUUAUGUCGUCUUUACCACUGAAAAUUUGUUUCCAAUUUGUUCAGUUCCAGCUAUACCACUUUGUUUAUGCAAUUAACUGUAAAUUGUCGGGUAUUGAGGGUCCCCUUACUGUUUAUGUCCUAGCCAGUCCACAGGAUUAUGAUCGUGGUCGUGUGAUAUUUGUGAUGUUCUUUACACUGAUUCAAUGCAAGUGAUGUGUGUUCUUGUCCUUUUGAAAUUUCUUUUAUCUCAGGUUCGAUCUUCUUCUUAUUGAACAAAUAAAAUUCACACUUGGAUGGAAGGAUUUGUGAUUCAGAAAUAAAUGUUUUAUUUUGUAGAAAUACAUAUUUAGAUUUGGUUAGUUUAUCCACAAACCCACGUGCGUAGAACUAAAGCAUGUUCUUUUCUUCAUGUAGUUGUGUUAAGAACAGGGAGGGCAGAGAUUUUGUCUACUGAUGGUUGCAGAACAUAAUAUGAUUACUUUGUUGCUUCAGUUGACAUUCCUCCUCUCUGAUGUUGUCCUGUCUAAGUUGAGUUAGGUCAGUGGUUUAGAAACUUAGAAUCUUAUUUGCACACCCAUACAAAAUAUAUAUAUAUAUAUAUUUAAACAUCCAUUCUCACAAAGCAUGUCAAUAUGCCAGCAUGCAUAUGGCUAACAUCGCAAGUAGGGGAUCUGCCAAAUAAAUGAUGAUGAUUUUCUAUAAUAAAGGUCUGCCAAAUGAAGUUCCUAAUAUUCUGCUUUUAGGUGUUAUUAUUUUCUAUCAUAUAUUUCUUUUAUCUGGUCAAAUCACAUUGUAAAUUUUCAUAUAUGGUCCACCAAAUAAAUGGCUUGAUUUUUGGGAGAUGUUUUGUCUAUUUUUCUCUUUUUAACCAACAAUGACUUCUUGUAUACGGUAUAAGGGAUAAGUAUAUUUUUCGUCCUCGAACUGUUUGCAAAGUUGAGAAAUCAUCCCUCAACUCCAAAACCACCAAAAGUCAGUCCCUGAACUAUUUAAACCGGAUACUUUUCGUCCUUCAACUAUUUAAACCGGAUACUUUUCAUCCCUCAUAACGCUUAUGGUGGUUUUACUCUAAUUUGGACCAUGUUUUGAUUGAAACAGGCCACUUUGACUGGUUUUGACUACGACGCCAAUUAAGUGUUUGUGCAUGAGUAUGUGUGUGCGCGUGUGUACAAGUGAGAACAAGGGAAAAGGAAAGUGUUUGCACUUCUACUUGUGUGUGAACAAGAGAAAGGCAGCUGUACUGAAUAUAGCUUAAGAAAAUCUGAAUAUAACUGAACAUCAUUUGCAGCUUCUCAAUCUUCAUUUGCAGGCUCAUUUGAGUUACCAGCAGUGAUUGCAAGACAAUCAGUAGGUGCAGAACUAGCGAAUGCGACAAAAUGAUCUCUACCUCUCCCUGAUUCACUACUAGCAUUUGGACCCAUCAGAAGCUCAACGUCAUUUCCCGGAUCCCUGUCGUGUUCGUCAUUUUCAGAAUUUGGAUAUAGCUGCACGUAUAUUUCAGCUACACUUCCAACGGCAACAUAAUUUUGCAUACCAAAACUCUGAACAGAUCAACCAGCAACCGGGGGCCUCAAUCACCGCCGCCCAUGAGUGAAUCAUUGUCGUUGUCGCCGCCGCCGCCCAGGACUGGUUUUGCUCAAGGUCGCCGCCGCCGUGCCCUGGCAGCCACCACCACAGAAGCCCAGCUCAGCCAACAAUCACCGGCUGGCCACACCGCGACCACCGUUGUUGCCACGCCUCACUGCCGGCCGCCGCCGCCGCUCUGUUUUGGAUUCGUGAAUGGGAAAGAUCGAGAGAAUGGGAGAGCGAGAGAGAGUAGGCGGGUGCCCGUUGUAGUCGAAACCAGGCCACGUGGUUCUUUUUAGUCAAAACAGGGUCAAGUCACUGUAAAACCACCUUAAACCUUAUUAGGGACGAAAAAUAUCCGGUUUAAAUAGU
Molecule: long non-coding RNA, 3250 nt
Organism: Triticum aestivum (bread wheat)
Lineage: Eukaryota; Viridiplantae; Streptophyta; Magnoliopsida; Poales; Poaceae
Exons: 3
Source: RefSeq, a predicted model, not a curated record